GGUGGCUCAGUGGUAGAGCGCUUGCCUCACAUGCAUGAAGACUUGGGUUCAAUUCCUCAGCACCA
This 65-nucleotide transfer RNA is filed under the name Dipodomys ordii (Ord's kangaroo rat). It matches the Rfam family "tRNA". Rfam says of the family: Transfer RNA (tRNA) molecules are approximately 80 nucleotides in length. The record is from Rfam by way of RNAcentral. Lineage: Eukaryota; Metazoa; Chordata; Mammalia; Rodentia; Heteromyidae.